This is a long non-coding RNA of Syngnathus typhle (broad-nosed pipefish), 985 nucleotides long. RefSeq lists it as uncharacterized. The transcript has 4 exons. The record is from RefSeq and is a predicted model, not a curated record. NCBI's taxonomy places the organism in Eukaryota, Metazoa, Chordata, Actinopteri, Syngnathiformes, Syngnathidae.
GGCGCCCGCCGGUUACUUGGAGUGUUGCGGUGAACUGGCGGCGCCUCGCUGGUGUUUGUGUUCCUGCUGUUUGACCUGCUGAAUGAUCUCCCGGAUCUUCCUCUGUGCAGUCUGUUAAAAAGAGCAGCGCAAAAAGCUCAGUAAGAAAUGGAGAUGGAUGGAUGGAUGGAUGGAUGGAUGUAUGGACGGACGGACGGAUGGACAAGCGCCAAUCAACUCACCGUCUUGCCACCUUUCCCGAUGACCCUUCCGGCUGCAGUAGAAGGAACCUUGAUGUGCGUCUCCAGUUUGACUUCCUCCUUCCCCGAGAAGAAGUUCUCCUCUUUCAGCUUGCCAAAUAUCCGACCUUGGGCCUGGACAUCAGAGGAGAGCGUGAGGAAAAUGAUUGACUCAUUUCUCAAGUGAUACUUCUUGCAGCCAUAUUUAUAAUCAGGUUACCUUAAAUUGAGCCUCUGGCGUGCCGGUAAUGAUCACCAUUCUCUCGGUGACAUCGGGACUCUCAGCUGGGGCGAUCUGAAGGCAAAUCAGAGAGGAGAAAUUGGAGCGUACAUUUGAUUCCAAUUUUUUUGAAGGUGAAACUGUGAGGUCUCCGCACCUUGAUGGAAGCUCCAGCAAAGUGGGCGAGCUGCUUAAUAUGCUGGCCCUUCUUGCCAAUGAGAGCUCCUACUGCCUGAGUUGGAAUAAAGAGCUCUCUGGGAAGCAGACAAGAAAAGAUGACAGAGCGUGAACUCGAUACCACAUGAGCCAAGUCUGGAGGCAAGACAGCCAAAAGAAAUCCUGUCAAAGUUUCCACUAGAAGACACAAAUGAUGUAAAAGUAGCCUUCAAGAAGUCUCUACAGACAAAUUUGAGUUUCACAACUUUUUAUCAUUAAAAUCGAAAUGUUUUUUCAUGGUGUAAAUUUGAUGUUUUCAAUUCUGAUAACUGAAUCAUUUUUUGUGAUGAAUUGCAGAUGUGCUUUGAGAUGCACGUUUGAUUCCAACAAU